AGUGAACGCUGGCGGUAGGCCUAACACAUGCAAGUCGAACGGCAGCACAGUAAGAGCUUGCUCUUACGGGUGGCGAGUGGCGGAAGGGUGAGGAAUACAUCGGAAUCUCCUUUUUCGUGGGGGAUAACGUAGGGAAACUUACGCUAAUACCGCAUACGACCUACGGGUGAAAGCAGGGGAUCUUCGGACCUUGCGCGAUUGAAUGAGCCGAUGUUGGAUUAGCUAGUUGGCGGGGUAAAGGCCCACCAAGGCGACGAUCCGUAGCUGGUCUGAGAGGAUGAUCAGCCACACUGGAACUGAGACACGGUCCAGACUCCUACGGGAGGUAGCAGUGGGGAAUAUUGGACAAUGGGCGCAAGCCUGAUCCAGCCAUACCGCGUGGGUGAAGAAGGCCUUCGGGUUGUAAAGCCCUUUUGUUGGGAAAGAAAAGCAGCAGGUUAAUACCCCGCUGUUCUGACGGUACCCAAAGAAUAAGCACCGGCUAACUUCGUG
RNAcentral lists this ribosomal RNA (492 nucleotides) under uncultured bacterium. RNAcentral's name for it is "partial 16S ribosomal RNA". It matches the Rfam family "Bacterial small subunit ribosomal RNA", at positions 29 to 507 of the family's 1533-position model. The record is from RNAcentral.